RNAcentral lists this ribosomal RNA (1678 nucleotides) under gut metagenome. RNAcentral's name for it is "bacterial LSU rRNA". It matches the Rfam family "Bacterial large subunit ribosomal RNA", at positions 1271 to 2925 of the family's 2925-position model. The record is from RNAcentral.
UGCUGGAGGUAUCAGAAGUGCGAAUGCUGACAUAAGUAACGAUAAAGCGGGUGAAAAGCCCGCUCGCCGGAAGACCAAGGGUUCCUGUCCAACGUUAAUCGGGGCAGGGUGAGUCGACCCCUAAGGCGAGGCCGAAAGGCGUAGUCGAUGGGAAACAGGUUAAUAUUCCUGUACUUGGUGUUACUGCGAAGGGGGGACGGAGAAGGCUAUGUCAGCCGGGCGACGGUUGUCCCGGUUUAAGCAUGUAGGCGGAGGUUCCAGGUAAAUCCGGUACCUUGUUAACGCUGAGGUGUGAUGACGAGGCACUACGGUGCUGAAGUGAUAAAUGCCCUGCUUCCAGGAAAAGCCUCUAAGCAUCAGGUAACACGAAAUCGUACCCCAAACCGACACAGGUGGUCAGGUAGAGAAUACCAAGGCGCUUGAGAGAACUCGGGUGAAGGAACUAGGCAAAAUGGUGCCGUAACUUCGGGAGAAGGCACGCUGAUGUGUAGGUGAAGCCCCUGCGGGCGGAGCUGAAAUCAGUCGAAGAUACCAGCUGGCUGCAACUGUUUAUUAAAAACACAGCACUGUGCAAACACGAAAGUGGACGUAUACGGUGUGACGCCUGCCCGGUGCCGGAAGGUUAAUUGAUGGGGUUAGCUGUAAGGCGAAGCUCUUGAUCGAAGCCCCGGUAAACGGCGGCCGUAACUAUAACGGUCCUAAGGUAGCGAAAUUCCUUGUCGGGUAAGUUCCGACCUGCACGAAUGGCGUAAUGAUGGCCAGGCUGUCUCCACCCGAGACUCAGUGAAAUUGAACUCGCUGUGAAGAUGCAGUGUACCCGCGGCAAGACGGAAAGACCCCGUGAACCUUUACUAUAGCUUGACACUGAACACUGGUCCUUGAUGUGUAGGAUAGGUGGGAGGCUUUGAAGCGUGGACGCCAGUCUGCGUGGAGCCAACCUUGAAAUACCACCCUUUAAUGGCUGGUGUUCUAACGUAGACCCGUAAUCCGGGUUGCGGACAGUGUCUGGUGGGUAGUUUGACUGGGGCGGUCUCCUCCCAAAGAGUAACGGAGGAGCACGAAGGUUGGCUAAUCCUGGUCGGACAUCAGGAGGUUAGUGCAAUGGCAUAAGCCAGCUUGACUGCGAGCGUGACGGCGCGAGCAGGUGCGAAAGCAGGUCAUAGUGAUCCGGUGGUUCUGAAUGGAAGGGCCAUCGCUCAACGGAUAAAAGGUACUCCGGGGAUAACAGGCUGAUACCGCCCAAGAGUUCAUAUCGACGGCGGUGUUUGGCACCUCGAUGUCGGCUCAUCACAUCCUGGGGCUGAAGUAGGUCCCAAGGGUAUGGCUGUUCGCCAUUUAAAGUGGUACGCGAGCUGGGUUUAGAACGUCGUGAGACAGUUCGGUCCCUAUCUGCCGUGGGCGCUGGAGAAUUGAGGGGGGCUGCUCCUAGUACGAGAGGACCGGAGUGGACGCAUCACUGGUGUUCGGGUUGUCAUGCCAAUGGCACUGCCCGGUAGCUAAAUGCGGAAGAGAUAAGUGCUGAAAGCAUCUAAGCACGAAACUUGCCCCGAGAUGAGUUCUCCCUGAGACUUUAAGUCUCCUGAAGGAACGUUAAAGACGAUGACGUUGAUAGGUCGGGUGUGUAAGCGCAGCGAUGCGUUGAGCUAACCGAUACUAAUGAACCGUGAGGCUUAACCUU